Molecule: unclassified non-coding RNA, 348 nt
Filed under: soil metagenome
Description: partial contains 5.8S ribosomal RNA, internal transcribed spacer 2, and large subunit ribosomal RNA
Rfam family: 5.8S ribosomal RNA (bases 1-120)
Source: RNAcentral
GAUGAAGAACGCAGCGAAAUGCGAUAAGUAAUGUGAAUUGCAGAAUUCAGUGAAUCAUCGAGUCUUUGAACGCACAUUGCGCCCCCUGGUAUUCCGGGGGGCAUGCCUGUCCGAGCGUCAUUGCCGCCCUCAAGAACGGCUUGUGUGUUGGGCCCCCGCCCCCCGGCUUCGGGGGGCGGGCCCGAAAGGCAGCGGCGGCACCGCGUCCGGUCCUCGAGCGUAUGGGGCUUCGUCACCCGCUCUGUAGGCCCGGCCGGCGCCCGCCGGCGACCCCAAUCAAUCUUUCCAGGUUGACCUCGGAUCAGGUAGGGAUACCCGCUGAACUUAAGCAUAUCAAUAAGCGGAGGA